Molecule: long non-coding RNA, 672 nt
Organism: Passer domesticus (house sparrow)
Lineage: Eukaryota; Metazoa; Chordata; Aves; Passeriformes; Passeridae
Exons: 3
Source: RefSeq, a predicted model, not a curated record
UCUGAGUCUGUGAUUCUGUGAUUGAUUCUAUGUUUCUAUUUUCUUUGAUUCUGUGUUUCUGUGAUUCAUUCUCUAUUUCUAUGAUUCUAUUCUCUGGCUCCAUGGCUAGCUGGCCUGGAAGAGCUUUUCUCUGAGCUAUUAAACUUCUCAAUCUCCAAGGAAGAUGGCCACCUACAAGUUUAUUCUGAGAGCAGUUUCUUGCCCAUACUAAUUCCCAGCCAUUGCCAGGGUUUGUUUGGGUCAGUGCUCACUGAGGGGAGGCAAACACAGGAUGCUGGAGGUCAGAAUGGUUCUCACUAGAGGUCUUCUGCAAGUGCCCCCAGCUCCUGGGAGAGGUGCAUUUGCAAUGGGACAGGGCUGUGUCAAGAUGAGCAGAAAUACAACCCACCCUGGCUCAGCUGAGCUGAGUGGCAAUGGAUUGAUCUGCUCCACCAUCAACCAGCAAAGAGAAAGUGAUUCUGCAGCUAACUGCUACCUUUUAAAGAGGUCUGUGUAUAUGGUGUUUGUGCAGGAGAAUUCACUGUCAUGAAUCAGGUGAGGUGCUGCACUGAUGCCCACAUUGAGUCUUCUGAGAGAGUGAAACAAUCUGACAUGAACUGACAUUAACACCAUCCCAGUAAAAAAUAAACCUUUGUGGAGGAGGAAAAGCACAACCCACCACUAUAAUCCAAA